ACCUUCUACUGUAAGGUGAUUAUCCAUCUCCUCUGAGAACGGUUCUUGUAGAAGUGGAAAAGUCGCUCUCUAACUCUAUACUUUUUCAACACCUUUUAACAUCAAGCAUCAACUACCUUGAAGAACAUUUUAUAAUUUAUGUCACAUCCAUGGGCCAAUCAGACUUCAUCUUCUGUCUCAUACUUAUUCUCUCCUUCGUGGCCAAGAGUAAAUUCUUCAGUUUCACCGUUUUCCUCAAAAGCUUUUCAUCCACAUUCCACCAAAGCCUCACUCUUCAGAAGCCUUAUCAAACGACCCGUAAAUUGCAUCAAGCUUGUGGAAAGCACCCUUGGUCCAGAUUACAAACCUACCCAAAUGACCUCCGGGAGCAAGCUUCAACAAGUUGAGCCUAUCAACAUGGCAGAUUUCGACACCGGGAAGGUUCCUGAAUUCCUUCACAAGCUUAGCACCCUCAGUCGCGUAGACGAUUGUUCCAUAAGUUGACAUUUACUUUUAAAAACCCAUGCUGGGAAAACUUUGAGCUUCUUGGUUUAAAAGUUGGUCUUUAUUUCUUAGAUAUCCUAUUAGAUGGAUGGAGCUUUGUAACUUUCAAGUUUUUUUUCCCCGUAACUACAAUGUUUGGUAGCUAGUACAAAAAAGCUCAGUUCGCAAUUGUUGUUCUGAUCUAGUGAAUUGAGUUUGUGAAAUGAAAGAUCAGAUCCGAAGCAUCAGAUCAGAAGCAUGCUUGUGAACUGAUCUGCUUCGGAUCUGAUCUUUCAUUUCACAAACUCUGUUGCUGCUUCUGAUCUGUUCUUUCAUUUUUGUUGCGAGAAGAUCAGAACACUCACAACUGAUAUGCUGCUUCUUGUGCUGAACCAUAGACUAUUACAUACUGAUAAUUUCUUGUACUGAUCUGCUGUACUGAUCAGUUCACCAGAUCAGAACAGCAGUUGUGAACUGAUCUGCUGUGAACUGAUGCUGCAGAUUUAUUGUGAACUUAUGUUGCAGAUUUGUUGCGUGCAGAUCAGAAGCAGCAGCAGAUCAGAACAUCAGUUGUGAAACUGAUCUGCUGCUGCUUUGAUCUGAUGCUGCAGAUCUGUUGCGAGCAGAUCAGAAGCAGCAGCAAUCAGAUCAGAAGUUGUGAAUCUGAUCUGCUACUUCCAAUCUGGUGUUCGAGCCAAAAGUUGUUGCUCACUCUACUAAUAUCUUUCUCGUUAUUUAAUUUAGUUAUUUAAUUUGUUCAACAUAUCAAUUUUUAAUUUAUAUGCAAACAUGAUAUUGCAACUAAAAGCUCUUAUUGCGGAGGUGUAGUGUGUUGAAGAAAUCAAAUGGAAGUAGAUCAAGACCCCUCUAUGGAAAUCAGUGAAGGGUGCACAACAAACAGGCAAUACGGAGUGCGGCUACUACGUGAUGAAGUACAUGUACGAUAUAGUUACAAGUUGUACGGAUGUCAAGGAUCUCGAAGAGGCACGAUCCUUAAAUAAGCCAUUUUAGCCAAUAUUUGAAAUAUAAUUAACUAACGAGCCUUAAAUGUGCAUAAGUUAACUAAUAUGUGCAUAAAUUAACCUAUAUGGGUGAUAAUGAGUCUUUGAAACAUAAAAAUAAGUGUAUUGAACAUGAAAAAGCUUUAAAAUACUUAUUUUGGUUCAUUAGUUGAAAGUUGGGGCCGAAAUUAGCCAUUUUAGUCAAAAUGUGACCGAUAAUGAACUAACGAGGCUUAAAUGUGCAUAACUUCACCAAAAUGGGUGAGAAUGAGUCUUUGAAACACAAAACUAAGUUUAUCAAACAUGGAAAGACGUUAAAAUACUCAUUUAAGUUCAUUAGUUGAAAGUUGAGACCAAAAUAAGCCAUUUUAGUCAAAAUGUGAUCGAUAAUGAUCAAACGAGUCUUAAAUGUGCAUAACUUCACCAAAAUGGGUGAGAAUGAGUCUUUGAAAUAUAAAAAUAAGUGUAACAAACAUGUAAAGACUUUAAAAUACUUAUUUACGUUCAUUAGUUGAAAGUUGGGACCGAAAUUAGCCAUUUUAGUCAAAAUGUGACCAAUAAUGAACUAACGAGGCUUAAAUGUGCAUAACUUCACCAAAAUGGGUGAGAAUGAGUCUUUGAAAUAUAAAACUAAGUGUAUAAAACAUGAAAAGACUUUAAAAUACUCAUUUAAGUUCAUUAGUUGAAAGUUGGAACCAAAAUUAGCCAUUUUAGUCAAAACGUGACCGAUAAUGAACUAACGAGGCUUAAAUGUGCAAAACUUCACCAAAAUGGUGAGAGAGAGUCUUUGAAACAUAUAACUAAGUGUAUUAAACAUGGAAAGACUUUAAAAUACUCAUUUAAUUUCAUUAGUUGAAAGUUGGAACCGAAAUUAGCCAUUUUAGUAAAAAUGUGUCCGAUAAUGAUCAAAUGAGUCUUAAAUGUGCAUAACUUCACAAAAAUGGGUGAGAAUGAGUCUUUGAAACUUAAAAAUAAGUUUAUUGAACAUAGAAAAGCUUUAAAAUACUUAUUUUAGUUCAUUAGUUGAAAGUUAUGGCCGAAAUUAGUCAUUUUAGUCAAAAUGUGACCGAUAAUGAACUAACGAGGCUUAAAUGUGCAUAACUUCCCCAAAAUGGGUGAGAAAGAGUCUUUGAAACAUAAAACUAAGUGUAUCAAACAUGGAAAGACUUUAAAAUACUCAUUUAAGUUCAUUAGUUGAAAGUUGGAACUGAAAUUAGCCAUUUUAGUCAAAACGUGACCGAUAAUGAACUAACGAGGCUUAAAUGUGCAGAAGUUCACCAAAAUGGUGAGAAUGAGUCUUUGAAACAUAAAACUAAGUGUAUUAAACAUGGAAAGACUUUAAAAUACUCAUUUAAGUUCAUUAAUUGAAAGUUGGGACCGAAAUUAGUCAUUUUAGUCAAAAUGUGUCCGAUAAUGAUCAAACGAGUCUUAAAUGUUCCUAACUUCACCAAAAUGGUGAGAAUGAGUCUUUGAAACAUAAAAAUAAAUGUAUUGAACAUGGAAAAGCUUUAAAAUACUUAUUUUAGUUCAUUAGGUUAAAGUUGGGGCCGAAAUUAGCCAUUUUAGUCAAAAUGUGACCGAUAAUGAACUAACGAGGCUUUAAUGUGCAUAACUUCACCAAAAUGGGUGAGAAUGAGUCUUUGAAACAUAAAACUAAGUGUAUUAAACAUGAAAGGACUUUAAAAUACUCAUUUAAGUUCAUUAGAUGAAAGUUGUGACCGAAAUUAACCAAUUUUAUUAUUAUACGGUUCAUUAUUUCUUUGUUAUGAACAAAUUAAGUCUUAAUUUAUUGUACGAUUCAAUAUUUAUAAUAUAACUAAAGUGUAUAUAUACUUUUUGAUGGUCGAUCUUUUUAAGGUAUUCAAUGGCCCGAGGGAGCGGCCUUUCACCUUUGAGGAGAUAGAUGAAGUUCGAGAAAUGUUGGCAAACUUCAUUAUCAGUGAUUGUCUUUGAUAUUUUCUUGUACUGAAUCUUAAAUUAUGGAUGUUAGUUUUUCAUAUGAUUGUAAUGUAAUCGACUUUUAUAUUUACAAUUAUAUACUAUUUAAUUUAAUUAUCUAUAUAAUUGGAUACUUUUUAUGUGA
This is a long non-coding RNA of Spinacia oleracea (spinach), 3546 nucleotides long. RefSeq lists it as uncharacterized. NCBI's taxonomy places the organism in Eukaryota, Viridiplantae, Streptophyta, Magnoliopsida, Caryophyllales, Amaranthaceae. The transcript has 2 exons. The record is from RefSeq and is a predicted model, not a curated record.